CCAUAGCUAUGAAUGAAAAAGUUAAUUUUGGUCAUGUUUCUCCUCUACCCUCCAUUUGCUAUCAAAAUCUAACCGUUCACGUACCCAAUGAGAUUUUGAAGCCAAUAUACUGUUCCUCUCCGUAUAUGCCCUAUGGCCUAACUUUGUGUGGGGUGUCCAGCCCUAUAAUGGAGGUUUGAGUUCAUAAUGGGUGUGGGGAUGGCAAUGAGGCAGGUG
This 216-nucleotide long non-coding RNA is filed under the name Elaeis guineensis (African oil palm). RNAcentral's name for it is "long non-coding RNA (EGUI_LNC027034)". Lineage: Eukaryota; Viridiplantae; Streptophyta; Magnoliopsida; Arecales; Arecaceae. The record is from RNAcentral.